UACGAAGGGUGCAAGCGUAACUCGGAAUUACUGGGCGUAAAGCGUGCGUAGGUGGUUUGUUAAGUCUGUUGUGAAAGCCCCGGGCUCAACCUGGGAAUGGCAAUGGAUACUGGCAAGCUAGAGUGCGGUAGAGGGUAGUGGAAUUCCCGGUGUAGCGGUGAAAUGCGUAGAGAUCGGGAGGAACACCAGUGGCGAAGGCGGCUACCUGGACCAGCACUGACACUGAGGCACGAAAGCGUGGGGAGCAAACAGG
Molecule: ribosomal RNA, 253 nt
Filed under: uncultured bacterium
Lineage: Bacteria
Description: partial 16S ribosomal RNA
Rfam family: Bacterial small subunit ribosomal RNA
Source: RNAcentral